AGUAGGCCCAUCCUCUAGGACUCCUAUAAUAAGUUGUGGAGUGCUAACAGACCUCCUUCUCUGCUGCUGCCCAUUCCCCGUCUGUCCUCUUUUUUUCCCCACCCUGUCUCCCUCUUGCUCAUUCAGCUUCCCUCCACCUUCUUUCGAUUUAUCUAGCUCAGUUUCUAUGGGAGCAGCCAGCCAGAGGAGCCUUGAAGUCGGAGAGAAGAAGGAAGCAAAGCCAGGUGUGCAGUGGGAACAUGACGGGCCCCGAGGUUGGGCUGAGAGGGUAUGCCAAGUGUCGUGUCAAGCAGCACCACUACAUCAUGAAGAGAUGGAUACUGUCAAGGCUCUCCCCUCACAUCUCAAUCCUCAUGGAGUCCAAGUGAAAGAGGGUGGAUUUACACCAUCUGUCCAGGAACCACAGG
This is a long non-coding RNA of Scatophagus argus, 407 nucleotides long. RefSeq lists it as uncharacterized. The transcript has 3 exons. NCBI's taxonomy places the organism in Eukaryota, Metazoa, Chordata, Actinopteri, Scatophagidae. The record is from RefSeq and is a predicted model, not a curated record.